Molecule: non-coding RNA, 73 nt
Organism: Massariosphaeria phaeospora
Lineage: Eukaryota; Fungi; Ascomycota; Dothideomycetes; Pleosporales
Source: the annotation of a GenBank genome assembly
GCCUGGUUAGCUCAAUCGGUAGAGCGUGAGACUCUUAAUCUCAAGGUCACGGGUUCGACCCCCGUAUCGGGCU